AAAUUGAAGAGUUUGAUCAUGGCUCAGAUUGAACGCUGGCGGCAGGCCUAACACAUGCAAGUCGAACGGUAACAGGAAGCAGCUUGCUGUUUUGCUGACGAGUGGCGGACGGGUGAGUAAUGUCUGGGAAACUGCCUGAUGGAGGGGGAUAACUACUGGAAACGGUGGCUAAUACCGCAUAACGUCGCAAGACCAAAGAGGGGGACCUUCGGGCCUCUUGCCAUCAGAUGUGCCCAGAUGGGAUUAGCUUGUUGGUGAGGUAACGGCUCACCAAGGCGACGAUCCCUAGCUGGUCUGAGAGGAUGACCAGCCACACUGGAACUG
Molecule: ribosomal RNA, 324 nt
Filed under: Salmonella enterica
Lineage: Bacteria; Pseudomonadati; Pseudomonadota; Gammaproteobacteria; Enterobacterales; Enterobacteriaceae
Description: bacterial SSU rRNA
Rfam family: Bacterial small subunit ribosomal RNA
Source: RNAcentral